UACGGCUGCAAGCCAAGUCUUUUAUUUAAUCAAAAUUCAUCGUCCCAAAUAACAAUGUAAGAUAGGUUUAAAUACUAGAAAAUAAUGCAAACCUAGGGCCAAGCCCAAUACAAAAGUCCAUAAAAUUAAAAUAACUUAAAUUCCAACUAAAAUAAUUAAAAUUGCUAAAAUUAAUUAAAAUUGGAUGUCCUCAUCAAUUCUCCCGGGGUGGGAGAGAAAACUCGACCCUGUCGAGUGGCUAUAUCACCAUAGGCAUCUGUCAAUCUCCCAACCAUAAGCUGAGUGGCUGGGCAAGCUUCUUCCUGCGUCUGUAGAAAUGCGUCAGUGGCGGUCUGAACCUGGUGUCCUCACCAACUCCCCUCGGGUGGACGGGAGGCGAUCUGGGCCAAGGAAGAUCCUGCUGACUCCGAUAAAGCUCUAGCAAAUCUGGAUCCAAAUGCUGUAGUGUCUCCCUGGAAAUCCAUGCACAAUCAGAAUCUGGUCGACCAACCCAACGAACAAGGAAGCGCUGAACCUCUCCAUCAUUAGUGAACAC
This 535-nucleotide long non-coding RNA is filed under the name Olea europaea subsp. europaea. The record is from RNAcentral. Lineage: Eukaryota; Viridiplantae; Streptophyta; Magnoliopsida; Lamiales; Oleaceae.